Molecule: ribosomal RNA, 253 nt
Filed under: uncultured bacterium
Lineage: Bacteria
Description: partial 16S ribosomal RNA
Rfam family: Bacterial small subunit ribosomal RNA
Source: RNAcentral
UACGUAGGGCGCAAGCGUUAUCCGGAAUUAUUGGGCGUAAAGAGCUCGUAGGCGGUUUGUCGCGUCUGCCGUGAAAGUCCGGGGCUCAACUCCGGAUCUGCGGUGGGUACGGGCAGACUAGAGUCCGGUAGGGGAGCGUGGAAUUCCUGGUGUAGCGGUGAAAUGCGCAGAUAUCAGGAGGAACACCAGCGGCGAAGGCGGCGCUCUGGGCCGGAACUGACGCUGAGGAGCGAAAGCGUGGGGAGCAAACAGG